This 1346-nucleotide ribosomal RNA is filed under the name uncultured bacterium. Its description in RNAcentral is "bacterial SSU rRNA". It matches the Rfam family "Bacterial small subunit ribosomal RNA", at positions 43 to 1381 of the family's 1533-position model. The record is from RNAcentral.
CAGGCUUAACACAUGCAGGUCGAGGGGCAGCGGGGUAGUGCUUGCACUACUGCCGGCGACCGGCGCACGGGUGAGUAACACGUAUGGAACCUGCCCGCAGCAGGGGGAUAAGCGGAAGAAAUUCCGUCUAAUACCGCGUAAGAACGUUGGGAGGCAUCUCCCGAUGUUUAAAGAUUUAUCGGCUGCGGAUGGCCAUGCGGCGCAUUAGCUAGUCGGCGGGGUAACGGCCCACCGAGGCGACGAUGCGUAGGGGUUCUGAGAGGAAGGUCCCCCACACUGGUACUGAGACACGGACCAGACUCCUACGGGAGGCAGCAGUGAGGAAUAUUGGUCAAUGGCCGAGAGGCUGAACCAGCCAAGUCGCGUGAGGGAAGACGGCCCUACGGGUUGUAAACCUCUUUUGUCGGGGAGCAAAGCGAACCACGUGUGGUUCAUUGAGAGUACCCGAAGAAAAAGCAUCGGCUAACUCCGUGCCAGCAGCCGCGGUAAUACGGAGGAUGCGAGCGUUAUCCGGAUUUAUUGGGUUUAAAGGGUGCGCAGGCGGAGGUGCAAGUCAGCGGUCAAAUUGCGGGGCUCAACCCCGUACUGCCGUUGAAACUGCAUCCCUUGAGUGCGCGAGAAGUAUGCGGAAUGCGUGGUGUAGCGGUGAAAUGCAUAGAUAUCACGCAGAACUCCGAUUGCGAAGGCAGCAUACCGGCGCGCAACUGACGCUCAUGCACGAAAGCGUGGGUAUCGAACAGGAUUAGAUACCCUGGUAGUCCACGCAGUAAACGAUGAACACUAACUGUUCGGCCAGAAUGAUGGCUGAGUGGUACAGCGAAAGCGUUAAGUGUUCCACCUGGGGAGUACGCCGGCAACGGUGAAACUCAAAGGAAUUGACGGGGGCCCGCACAAGCGGAGGAACAUGUGGUUUAAUUCGAUGAUACGCGAGGAACCUUACCCGGGCUCAAACGACACAGGAAUACUUUUGAAAGGAGGUAGCCCUACGGGGUCUGUGUCGAGGUGCUGCAUGGUUGUCGUCAGCUCGUGCCGUGAGGUGUCGGCUUAAGUGCCAUAACGAGCGCAACCCCUAUCGCCAGUUACCAUCAAGUAAAGUUGGGGACUCUGGCGAGACUGCCGGCGCAAGCUGAGAGGAAGGCGGGGAUGACGUCAAAUCAGCACGGCCCUUACGUCCGGGGCGACACACGUGUUACAAUGGCAGGUACAGAGAGAAGCCAGGUGGUGACACCGAGCGGAACUCGAAAGCCUGUCUCAGUUCGGAUCGGAGUCUGCAACCCGACUCCGUGAAGCUGGAUUCGCUAGUAAUCGCGCAUCAGCCAUGGCGCGGUGAAUACGUUCCCGGGCCU